RNAcentral lists this ribosomal RNA (497 nucleotides) under uncultured bacterium. RNAcentral's name for it is "partial 16S ribosomal RNA". It matches the Rfam family "Bacterial small subunit ribosomal RNA", at positions 28 to 507 of the family's 1533-position model. The record is from RNAcentral.
GAUGAACGCUGGCGGCGUGCCUAAUACAUGCAAGUCGAGCGAACGGACGAGAAGCUUGCUUCUCUGAUGUUAGCGGCGGACGGGUGAGUAACACGUGGAUAACCUACCUAUAAGACUGGGAUAACUUCGGGAAACCGGAGCUAAUACCGGAUAAUAUUUUGAACCGCAUGGUUCAAAAGUGAAAGACGGUCUUGCUGUCACUUAUAGAUGGAUCCGCGCUGCAUUAGCUAGUUGGUAAGGUAACGGCUUACCAAGGCAACGAUGCAUAGCCGACCUGAGAGGGGGGUCGGCCACACUGGAACUGAGACACGGUCCAGACUCCUACGGGAGGCAGCAGUAGGGAAUCUGCCGCAACAGGCGAAAGCCUGACGCAGCGACGCCGAGUGAGUGAUGACGGUCUCCGGAUCGUAAUGCUCUGUUAUUAGGGAAGAACAUAUGUGUAAGUAACCGUGCACAUCUUGACGGUACCUAAUCAGAAAGCAACGGCUAACUACGUG